UGGAGGGAAGGUGGGGAUGACGUCAAGUCAUCAUGGCCCUUACGGCCUGGGCUACACACGUGCUACACAGGUCGGUACAGAGGGUCGCCAAGCCGCGAGGUGGAGCUAAUCUCACAAAACCGAUCGUAGUCCGGAUCGCAGUCUGUAACUCGACUGCGUGAAGUCGGAAUCGCUAGUAAUCGCGAAUCAGAAUGUCGCGGUGAAUACGUUCCCGGGCCUUGUACACACCGCCCAUCACACCAUGGGAGUGGGUUGCACCAGAAGUAG
Molecule: ribosomal RNA, 267 nt
Filed under: Pseudomonas putida
Lineage: Bacteria; Pseudomonadati; Pseudomonadota; Gammaproteobacteria; Pseudomonadales; Pseudomonadaceae
Description: partial 16S ribosomal RNA
Rfam family: Bacterial small subunit ribosomal RNA
Source: RNAcentral